Molecule: long non-coding RNA, 406 nt
Organism: Triticum aestivum (bread wheat)
Lineage: Eukaryota; Viridiplantae; Streptophyta; Magnoliopsida; Poales; Poaceae
Exons: 2
Source: RefSeq, a predicted model, not a curated record
UUGUAUUGCUGUACAAAAACCAAAAAGUUUACAGUUGUACUAGAUUGUUACGGUUGUGGUCAUGCUUGGUGAGACCACACUUGCGCCAUUCUCUCUGCUUGGCUUGUUCGCUUCCGGCCCAACCCGGCCCAUUCAUCUCUCUGUCCCUGUCCGUUCGUCUCGCCUCGAGCGCCGACCCCGAAGGCAGAUCGCCCGCUCCGCUCCCAAUCUCCACUGCCUCCACCCGCUUCGCUUGCUUUCUGUACAGUACCCACCCCCACCCGCCGUUGCUCAAGAGCGGCGCAUCGAUUCCGGCGACUAGACAUGCGGCGGCCUUCGGCGAGGUUGUAAAUCUUAUCGGUGUUUCAAUUGACUUCAAAGUGAAAUCAACAUACCAAUGGAAUAUCCCAACAUCACAGUGCUUCAA